AUGAAUACUUCAGGGAAGGAUGUGAAAACCGGGGAGUUGAUAAAACAAGAGUUUGUUUGCAACAAGUUUCGAAAGCCUGAUGUUGAUGACGGAGGGGCAGAAAGGAUUCCUGUGCUAGAUGACAUUGUUGAGCAAGAAAAAGAUGAUAAUGAAGAUGAGGCUAUUGUCUUUCUUGAUGAUGAUAGUAAAGGCAAAAAGAUGAGCAAGAAACGAAAAAGAGAUAAAAUUGUGCAAACUGGUUGCAAAGCUAAGAUGAUUGUGAAGGUAAUAGAUGGCAGAUGGGAGGUGAUCUACUUUGUUGGCGAGCACAACCAUCCGUUGGUUGACAAGCCAUGUUUGACUAAGUAUUUGCGAUCACACCAAGGGAUCCCGCUAGAAGAAAGGGUCUUCCUUACUCAUCUUCAUAACUGCAAUUUAACUACAGGUUUUAAACCACACCCCCUCCCCCCUACCUUCUAA
RNAcentral lists this ribosomal RNA (459 nucleotides) under Triticum aestivum (bread wheat). RNAcentral's name for it is "partial small subunit ribosomal RNA". Lineage: Eukaryota; Viridiplantae; Streptophyta; Magnoliopsida; Poales; Poaceae. The record is from RNAcentral.